AGGAACAUGUGGUUAAUUCGAUGGUACGCGAGGUACCUUACCUGGCUUAAAUGUAGAGUGCAUUUUUUAGAGAUUAGAAAUUCCCUUCGGGGCUUUCUGCAAGGUGCUGCAUGGUUGUCGUCAGCUCGUGCCGUGAGGUGUCGGGUUAAGUCCCAUAACGAGCGCAACCCUUAUCGUUAGUUGCCAUCUGGUAAUGCAGGGGACUCUAGCGAAACUGCCACCGUAAGGUGAGAGGAAGGUGGGAUGACGUCAAAUCAGCACGGCCCUUAUGUCCAGGGCUACACACGUGUUACAAUGGUCGGUACAGAGGGCAGCUACCUGGUGACAGGAUGCUAAUCUCGAAAACCGAUCUCAGUUCGGAUCGAAGUCUGCAACUCGACUUCGUGAAGCUGGAUUCGCUAGUAAUCGCGCAUCAGCCAUGGCGCGGUGAAUACGUUCCCGGGCCUU
This 447-nucleotide ribosomal RNA is filed under the name uncultured Sphingobacteriales bacterium. Its description in RNAcentral is "bacterial SSU rRNA". It matches the Rfam family "Bacterial small subunit ribosomal RNA", at positions 933 to 1382 of the family's 1533-position model. Lineage: Bacteria; Pseudomonadati; Bacteroidota; Sphingobacteriia; Sphingobacteriales. The record is from RNAcentral.